ACAUACGACCAUAGGAAGUGGAAAAUAGGGCUUCCCGUCCGCUCAGCCGUACUCAAGCCACUUGCCGGUCAGUUAGUAGUAUGGUGGGUGACCACAUGCGAAUCCUGACUGUUGUAUGUCAUU
Molecule: ribosomal RNA, 123 nt
Filed under: Aspergillus ochraceoroseus
Lineage: Eukaryota; Fungi; Ascomycota; Eurotiomycetes; Eurotiales; Aspergillaceae
Source: RNAcentral